GAGGAAAAGAAACCAACAGGAUUGCCCCAGUAACGGGCGAGUGAAGCGGCAACAGCUCAAAUUUGAAAUCUGGUCCCCAGGGCCCGAGUUUGUAAUUUGUAGAGGAUGCUUUUGGCGAGGUGCCUUCCGAGUUCCCUGGAACGGGACGCCAUAGAGGGUGAGAGCCCCGUCUGGUUGGAUACCAAGCCUCUGUAAAGCUCCUUCGACGAGUCGAGUAGUUUGGGAAUGCUGCUCUAAAUGGGAGGUAUAUGUCUUCUAAAGCUAAAUACCGGCCAGAGACCGAUAGCGCACAAGUAGAGUGAUCGAAAGAUGAAAAGCACUUUGAAAAGAGGGUUAAAUAGUACGUGAAAUUGUUGAAAGGGAAGCGUUUGUGACCAGACUUGGGCCCGGUUAAUCAUCCAGCGUUCUCGCUGGUGCACUUUGCCGGCCCAGGCCAGCAUCAGUUCGCGCCGGGGGAUAAAGGCUUCGGGAAUGUGGCUCCUCCGGGAGUGUUAUAGCCCGCUGCGUAAUACCCUGGUGCGGACUGAGGUUCGCGCUCCGCAAGGAUGCUGGCGUAAUGGUCAUCAGCGACCCGUCUUGAAACACGGACCAAGGAGUCGUCUUCGUAUGCGAGUGUUCGGGUGUCAAACCCCUACGCGUAAUGAAAGUGAACGUAGGUGAGAGCUUCGGCGCAUCAUCGACCGAUCCUGAUGUUCUCGGAUGGAUUUGAGUAAGAGCAUACGGGGCCGGACCCGAAAGAAGGUGAACUAUGCCUGUAUAGGGUGAAGCCAGAGGAAACUCUGGUGGAGGCUCGCAGCGGUUCUGACGUGC
This 810-nucleotide ribosomal RNA is filed under the name Niesslia mucida. RNAcentral describes it as "partial large subunit ribosomal RNA". It matches the Rfam family "Eukaryotic large subunit ribosomal RNA", at positions 53 to 894 of the family's 3401-position model. The record is from RNAcentral. Lineage: Eukaryota; Fungi; Ascomycota; Sordariomycetes; Hypocreales; Niessliaceae.